UAUCUUCCCAUGAAUCAUUCUGAUGGCACUUCCCCCUUCAGAGGUUACUACUCACCCAGAUGUGAGCUCUUCCUCUCUCCUCUGAGAUCGUCCUGCUUCGCAUUGUCUCCGAGCUUUGCAGCUUUCGGCACAGCCAGCCUUAGAGUCAAGUUCCAUAGAAUGGAGUGAAGAAGUGUACACAAUGCUGCUGAGAUUCUCAGAGAGCUGGGCUCUCCCUGACUUUUACAGCUUGGAAAUUACGAAAAGCCCUUCUAAAUGUAAGUGUUCUUGAGGUGACCUCAGUGUGACCAGUAUUUGGCCUGUGUGUGUGUGUGUGUGUGUGUGUGUGUGUGUGUGUUGAGGAAGGGGUAAGGAAAAGCAGGAGCAAUGGGGGAACAAUGAGGGAUUGCUUUUAAAGCUGGUAGUAGACUAUUUUUCCUCAAAGGAACUUAGUUGUGACCUCUGCUACUAACAAUAUUGUAAAUAAGUACUUUAACAUUUAACAUCGAGAAUAUUUAAGUGCCAGGUUCUGUGCUAAGUGC
This 521-nucleotide long non-coding RNA is filed under the name Fukomys damarensis (Damara mole-rat). Its description in RNAcentral is "lncRNA (ENSFDAG00000028341.1)". The record is from RNAcentral. Lineage: Eukaryota; Metazoa; Chordata; Mammalia; Rodentia; Bathyergidae.